Molecule: long non-coding RNA, 321 nt
Organism: Manis javanica (Malayan pangolin)
Lineage: Eukaryota; Metazoa; Chordata; Mammalia; Pholidota; Manidae
Source: RefSeq, a predicted model, not a curated record
UUGAGUGAAUCACAAGGCUUCUGCCUCGGGGCCUUCUCCAUCUCCCUUUGCUCUGCUCAGAAGGCUCCUCCUCCCGCACCUGCACGGUCCUGCCUCCCUUCUUCCUGGUCUGCUCAGACUCCGCCUUGCCGGGAAGACCUUCCCUGGCGGCCCUCCUGCAGACAUGUCUGUUCCAGUGACGGUUUGGUUUCUGUAUCCUACUUGGGCCUGACGAAUGCGGAGCGACCCCGUUCCCUCUCGGCGCUCACCCACAGAGCGCGGUGUACUGCAUGUGUGGGAACAACAAGAAGAUCUAAAAUGGAAAUAAACGUAUUUUGGGCA